Molecule: long non-coding RNA, 841 nt
Organism: Helianthus annuus (common sunflower)
Lineage: Eukaryota; Viridiplantae; Streptophyta; Magnoliopsida; Asterales; Asteraceae
Exons: 2
Source: RefSeq, a predicted model, not a curated record
AUUGAAGUAACAAUGAGUCAUGUGAUUUUGUAAGGCUGUUGUUUUAUGACUUUAUCAAAACCAGAUGCAUCCUAAAACCACACAAUAACUGUACAACCACCCACCACAAAGCCACCGUCACAAUCUGUACAACCACAACGCCACCGUCACAAAAUGGCAACCGCCACCACAACUACUUAGCCGCCGUCACCCCCUAACCGUCGGCCAUAAUCUUUCUCUCUCUAAGCUCCACCACCUAAACACCGCCUCCCGUCGGAACACACACCGCCAACCUCAUGCUAACUUCAGGCGAAGGACAGGGAUGUAAAUUCUGUCGGUGAGGGGCAAUAUUGUACAGAACUACCACCAUCGCAAUGUCUGUGAACCUUCCUGGACCGCCCUUGUUCUGAGCCCUCCGUAAUACCACUGGAAUCUGCCAUCCUGUACCACCGCCGGGGGCUGAACGCCGCUCGUUGUUCCGAUCUGUGAGUUGACGUUGAGCGGCUGUCAAGUGGUGACAAUGCAUCUUCAUAAUUUUUGUUUGAUUCAAUUCCGACAUGACGUUUUUCUAAGCUUUAAAUUUGAAGAUAUCCCGCCGCCCCCGUCCGGGUAUACUCACAUCUUUUUUAAAUUCUCUACCUCUUUUUUAUGCUUUUAUAUAAUUCUUUGUUUGGUUUAGGUCACUUUGCGCAAUCUUGUAGGCUUUAAAAUUUCUGUGUGUAAUUGACGGUGUUACAGGUGGAUUUGAGGGGCUGAAUUUGUGUUUUUCUUGUGUUGUUUAGUGUUUAUGUUUGUUUGUUGCUAAAAAUUGUUUGUGUUGUUUGGUUUGGUGUUGAUAAACAAAAAAUCUAAAUUCUAAUCA